CCUACGGGUGGCAGCAGUGGGGAAUAUUGGGCAAUGGGCGCAAGCCUGACCCAGCAAUGCCGCGUGAAGGAAGAAGGCUUUCGGGUUGUAAACUUCUUUGAGCGGGGAAGAGAAGAAGACGGUACCCUGAAAAAACGCCACGGCUAACUACGUGACAGCCGCCGCGGUAAUACGUAGGUGGCAAGCGUUGUCCGGAUUUACUGGGUGUAAAGGGCGUGUAGCCGGGUAGGCAAGUCAGAUGUGAAAUCUGGAGGCUCAACCGCGACAUUGCAUUUGAAACUGUUUUGCUGGAGUACUGGAGAGGCAGACGGAAUUCCUGGUGUAGCGGUGAAAUGCGUAGAUAUAAGGAGGAACACCAGUGGCGAAGGCGGUCUGCUGGACAGCAACUGACGGUGAGGCGCGAAAGCGUGGGGAGCAAACAGGAUUAGAUACCCCGGUAGUC
Molecule: ribosomal RNA, 442 nt
Filed under: uncultured bacterium
Lineage: Bacteria
Description: partial 16S ribosomal RNA
Rfam family: Bacterial small subunit ribosomal RNA
Source: RNAcentral